This 549-nucleotide ribosomal RNA is filed under the name uncultured Rhizophagus. Its description in RNAcentral is "SSU rRNA". It matches the Rfam family "Eukaryotic small subunit ribosomal RNA", at positions 548 to 1098 of the family's 1831-position model. The record is from RNAcentral. Lineage: Eukaryota; Fungi; Glomeromycota; Glomeromycetes; Glomerales; Glomeraceae.
UUGGAGGGCAAGUCUGGUGCCAGCAGCCGCGGUAAUUCCAACUCCAAUAGCGUAUAUUAAAGUUGUUGCAGUUAAAAAGCUCGUAGUUGAAUUUCGGGGUCAGUAGGUUGGUCAUGCCACUGGUAUGUACUGGUCUCACUGAUUCCUCCUUCCUGAUGAACUGUAAUGCCAUUAAUUUGGUGUUGCAGGGAAUCUGGACUGUUACUUUGAAAAAAUUAGAGUGUUUAAAGCAGGCUAACGCCUGAAUACAUUAGCAUGGAAUAAUGAAAUAGGACGUUCGAUCCUAUUUUGUUGGUUUCUAGGAUUGACGUAAUGAUUAAUAGGGAUAGUUGGGGGCAUUAGUAUUCAAUUGUCAGAGGUGAAAUUCUUGGAUUUAUUGAAGACUAACUACUGCGAAAGCAUUUGCCAAGGAUGUUUUCAUUAAUCAAGAACGAAAGUUAGGGGAUCGAAGACGAUCAGAUACCGUCGUAGUCUUAACCAUAAACUAUGCCGACUAGGGAUCGGAUGAUGUUAAUUUUUUAAUGACUCAUUCGGCGCCUUACGGGAAAC